GUGCCAGCAGCCGCGGUAAUACGGAGGGAGCUAGCGUUGUUCGGAAUUACUGGGCGUAAAGCGUACGUAGGCGGUUAUUCAAGUCAGAGGUGAAAGCCUGGAGCUCAACUCCAGAACUGCCUUUGAAACUAGAUAGCUAGAAUCUUGGAGAGGUUAGUGGAAUUCCGAGUGUAGAGGUGAAAUUCGUAGAUAUUCGGAAGAACACCAGUGGCGAAGGCGACUAACUGGACAAGUAUUGACGCUGAGGUACGAAAGCGUGGGGAGCAAACAGGAUUAGAAACCCCCGUAGUCC
RNAcentral lists this ribosomal RNA (292 nucleotides) under uncultured bacterium. RNAcentral describes it as "partial 16S ribosomal RNA". It matches the Rfam family "Bacterial small subunit ribosomal RNA", at positions 505 to 796 of the family's 1533-position model. The record is from RNAcentral.